Molecule: long non-coding RNA, 599 nt
Filed under: Mytilus galloprovincialis (Mediterranean mussel)
Lineage: Eukaryota; Metazoa; Mollusca; Bivalvia; Mytilida; Mytilidae
Source: RNAcentral
AAAAAAAAUGUUUGAAAUUAGUAUUUGCUACUUUUCCGCUGACAUGCUUUAACUAAAGAGAACAGACUUGUCGGCUCGAAACCCACUAUAAUAUGUCUGCGUAGGGCGAAAUGUCGGAUCUUUACCGAGUUUGCAUGAUAAAAUAUGACUUGGCGUGUCGACCUACUACUUUAAAUAAUAAAUUUUCAAAUUUCAAAUAAGCAACUUUCACAUUCAUAUCAUAUUUGAAUGUUAUAUCGUCCUAAAUUUGCAUGUACUAUUUGCUGCUGGAUGUAUAUCAAAUAGUCAUUCAUCAACCAGCCUAAGCAUUGCUUAAUGAUAUAAGUUUGUUUAAAAUGUUUAAAGGGUCUAAUGUUUAUAUAAAAAAGGUGGUUUUUAACUCUUACCCAAUUUAUGUGUACCCCAAAUGAUUGUUCAUCAUAUUGACCAACUGAGCUCGGUACAGCAGUAGCUAUGUUCGUGUAAUAUAAGUACAUCAGGUUGUUCAAAAAUUAACCAAACUUAUCAAAUACCUUUGUAGGACAAGAGAAAUCUGAGAACAAAUUUAUCAAUGAAAAUGGACGAUAUAAAAACAUACCAAGAAAAAGAAGAUGAAAAUC